GAAAAAACCAUAAAAUGAGACUAGAGAAACACUCCCCCAAUAAG
RNAcentral lists this non-coding RNA (44 nucleotides) under Bacillus methanolicus MGA3. Lineage: Bacteria; Bacillati; Bacillota; Bacilli; Caryophanales; Bacillaceae. The record is from RNAcentral.